UAUAUUAAGAAUAAAGAACAAGUAGUGCGCUCACGAGAAGAUAAAAAAAAGCACUCUCUCUCCUAUCUACCCGUGAAGACAAAAUUCCUUCUCUUAUUUCACCAGCGCGUGGUGGUACGUCCGCCGGCGCCGGACCUCCGACUCCCUCUCUUCUCUUAGCCUCCUGCUCUCCUCUCUCUCUCUUGUCAAUAUGCUUGCUGUCCUGGUGUUGUUCGUCGCCGUUGCCGCUUAGAUCUGCUCACGAAGUCCCUGGGUUUGACGGGGUGGCCGUUUUGUUCUUGGUGGCGUUGCAUUAUUUUCCAUGGCCAUGUAACGACCGUGACACAAGGUGAGCUUCCGGCGAGAUUUAUGGGUGAGUUUCCGGUGGGAUUUCUGGACGAGUUUCCGGCGGAUUUUUCUAGUGAGACUGACGAGCAUGAGUGAUUGCUAUCGGAUUUGUGCUUUGAGAGUUUUAUUUCUUUCUUUUUCAGACUCGGGUUCCGUCUUGGAAUUCGUCUCGAAUUCCGAUUAAGUAGGGAAGAAUUGUAACGACUGUGACCCAAUGUGGGAAAGCCCAUUUGUUUUUAUUAAUUAAAACCCAAAACCCUUCUUUUUAUUUUGUCCCACAUUGGAAGUUUAGAAAACCUACCUCACUUCCCUUUUCUUAUAUAAGAAGCUCCACCCUUUCUCUUUAUUCUCAUCAAGUCAAAGUAUUUCUUUGCGCGUGACGAAUUGUUGUUGAAUUAUUCGACGACCAGUUAUUAGUUAAUUUUCCGGUGGAAUUUCCGGAUGAGCUUCCGGCGAGAUUUAUGGGCGAGCUUCCGGUGGGAUUUCUGGUCGAGCUUCCGGCGGAUUUUUCUAGCAAGUUUGUUGCCUCCUUAUUUCUAGUUAUAGGAAUAUUUUAGAAAAGUUUCUAAUUUAGGAAAUAAGUUAUAUUAGGGAAGUUUCUAUUAUAGGAAAGUUGCUAUUUUUGGAAAGUUUUCAUUUUUGGAAACUUUAUUUCCUGAGACUCUGAGCCUAAGUCGUUGUCUCUUGUGUUGCAGUUGACCAUCUUCAGUCGAUCAUUCCAGCCAAUGACUAAGGUUAGGGCUACUUCGUUAAAUCCCGAGCUAGUUUAGUACUACUAUUAUGGAAAGUCUAGUUUUGAAACAUGAUCUGUCUAUGUGAAUUGAGUCUGUUUGAGAGUCUUGUUUGUUUAUUAUUAUUAUUGAUUGUUAAACCGGAAAUAGGAUAAUAGAGGAUUCAACGGUUGAAUGAAAUGAGUGAUGUUAAAACUGCUAUAUAUAUAUAUAAAUAUAUAAGUCCGUUUGUGUGGAUUGCGGGUGCACAAAGACGUUUGUGUAAACCGCUGACAAGCAGUGUGAUUGCGGGUGCACAGAGACGUUUGUGUAAGCCGUCGACGAACAAUGUGAUUGCGGGUGCACAGAGACGUUUGUGUAAGCCGCCGACGCGCAGAUUGUGGGAGUGCAGAGAUGGACUACUAUACGCCUGGAGAUAUACAUAUAUUCUUAUGAGGAAAUGUGGGGUGCAUAGAGUAGCAUGUACUAUCAGCGCAUUGGAUGUUUUAUGUGGUGUAUUAGACAUUGUGUUUGUUUCAUGCUAGAGCUAGGCCUACAUGGUCGUAGUGCUAUGUACUGAGUCACUGGUUUGCGGUUU
Molecule: long non-coding RNA, 1635 nt
Organism: Brassica oleracea var. oleracea
Lineage: Eukaryota; Viridiplantae; Streptophyta; Magnoliopsida; Brassicales; Brassicaceae
Exons: 3
Source: RefSeq, a predicted model, not a curated record